AUAGGAGACAAGAAGGCAUCUUCUUGUUUUUAAAAGACCUAGCAAUAGGUAUGCUUAGGGAGGAGCUUGCGUCACAUUAGUUAGUUGGUGGGGUAAAGGCCUACCGAGACUAUGAUGUGUAGCCGGGCUGAGAGGUUGAACGGCCAUAUUGGGACUGAGACACGGCCCAAACUCCUACGGGAGGCAGCAGUAGGGAAUUUUCGGCAAUGGAGGAAACUCUGACCGAGCAACGCCGCGUGAACGAUGAAGUAUUUCGGUACGUAAAGUUCUUUUAUUAGGGAAGAAUAAAUGAUGGAAAAAUCAUUCUGACGGUACCUAAUGAAUAAGCCCCGGCUAACUAUGUGCCAGCAGCCGCGGUAAUACAUAGGGGGCAAGCGUUAUCCGGAAUUAUUGGGCGUAAAGGGUGCGUAGGCGGUUAAAUAAGUUUAUGGUCUAAGUGCAAUGCUCAACAUUGUGAUGCUAUAAAAACUGUUUAGCUAGAGUAAGAUAGAGGCAAGUGGAAUUCCAUGUGUAGUGGUAAAAUGCGUAAAUAUAUGGAGGAACACCAGUAGCGAAGGCGGCUUGCUGGGUCUUUACUGACGCUGGGGCACGAAAGCGUGGGGAGCAAACAGGAUUAGAUACCCUGGUAGUCCACGCCGUAAACGAUGAGUACUAAACGUUGGGUAAAACCAGUGUUGAAGUUAACACAUUAAGUACUCCGCCUGAGUAGUACGUACGCAAGUAUGAAACUUAAAGGAAUUGACGGGACUCCGCACAAGCGGUGGAUCAUGUUGUUUAAUUCGAAGGUACCCGAAAAACCUCACCAGGUCUUGACAUGCUUCUGCAAAGCUGUAGAAACACAGUGGAGGUUAUCAGUUGCACAGGUGGUGCAUGGUGGUCGUCAGCUCGUGUCGUGAGAUGUUGGGUUAAGUCCCGCAACGAGCGCAACCCUUAUUGUUAGUUGCCAGCACGUAAUGGUGGGGACUUUAGCAAGACUGCCAGUGAUAAAUUGGAGGAAGGUGGGGACGACGUCAAAUCAUCAUGCCCCUUAUGACCUGGGCUACAAACGUGAUACAAUGGCUGUUACAAAGGGUAGCUGAAGCGCAAGUUUUUGGCGAAUCUCAAAAAAACAGUCUCAGUUCGGAUUGAAGUCUGCAACUCGACUUCAUGAAGUUGGAAUCGCUAGUAAUCGCGAAUCCAGCAUGUCGCGGUGAAUACGUUCU
RNAcentral lists this ribosomal RNA (1202 nucleotides) under Candidatus Phytoplasma asteris-related phytoplasma. Its description in RNAcentral is "bacterial SSU rRNA". It matches the Rfam family "Bacterial small subunit ribosomal RNA", at positions 173 to 1374 of the family's 1533-position model. The record is from RNAcentral. Lineage: Bacteria; Bacillati; Mycoplasmatota; Mollicutes; Acholeplasmatales; Acholeplasmataceae.